This 430-nucleotide ribosomal RNA is filed under the name bacterium enrichment culture clone ALO1_GLFRUDD03HHV8F. Its description in RNAcentral is "bacterial SSU rRNA". It matches the Rfam family "Bacterial small subunit ribosomal RNA", at positions 9 to 441 of the family's 1533-position model. The record is from RNAcentral.
GAGUUUGAUCAUGGCUCAGAUUGAACGCUGGCGGCAGGCCUAACACAUGCAAGUCGAGCGGAUGACGGGAGCUUGCUCCUUGAUUCAGCGGCGGACGGGUGAGUAAUGCCUAGGAAUCUGCCUGGUAGUGGGGGACAACGUUUCGAAAGGAACGCUAAUACCGCAUACGUCCUACGGGAGAAAGCAGGGGACCUUCGGGCCUUGCGCUAUCAGAUGAGCCUAGGUCGGAUUAGCUAGUUGGUGGGGUAAUGGCUCACCAAGGCGACGAUCCGUAACUGGUCUGAGAGGAUGAUCAGUCACACUGGAACUGAGACACGGUCCAGACUCCUACGGAGGCAGCAGUGGGGAAUAUUGGACAAUGGGCGAAAAGCCUGAUCCAGCCAUGCCGCGUGUGUGAAGAAGGUCUUCGGAUUGUAAAGCACUUUAAGUU